UUUUGCACUUUAUCUUUUUUUUUUUUGUAUAUUUCCUGUCCUCACAGUUGUAAUUCUUGUUGUUCUUAUGCAUGUUCAAUCAUAUAUAAAGUCAAGGACCAUUAAAGAUGCAUGAUAGGAUAAAAUUUCCAAAACAAAAAGUAGAUGCAUCUAAUCUAGUUUUGCUGUUUAUAGAUGAAGAGAAUUUCAUAAAUCUAGUUUCAAAUUAUUUUCUUCAAAUUUGAAAUCAUUUAUUUCACCUUUAGUUGGCAUGUGUCCACGAGUAUUGCUUACAUGUCAUAGUGUGUUUAGUAUAGAGAAACAAGAUCAUUCAGCAUGUCUCCAGCUUUUAAAUCUAGGUAGAUACUUUAAGCAUAAUAGAAUUAUGUAAGUUCUUAGAGAAUGAACAUGUUUUUGUCGUUAUCCCUCCUUUUGUAACUUUCUUUGUCCCAUUUGGGGUAGAGGAUCUGACUUGCUCCUUUUUUAAUUUAAUUUUUUUUUUAUAGGAAAUUCCCAUAACUUACUAGGUGAGUUCUUAAUAUAUGCAUUGCUUUCAGGGAAAGGUAUUCUCAUAUUCUGAAUCCAUACAAGCAAGGGCUUAGGCUGUGAUGCUCCUUAAGCAGUUAAAUUACCCGGUAUGUAUUUCUCCAUGGUAAAGCAAAAUACGAUGCAAUAAUGAAUCCAUACAAGCAAGGGCUUAGGCUUUGAUGCUCCUUAAGCAGUUAAAUUAUCCGGUUGAGAAUUUAAAGGUGCAACAAUAUGAAAAGUUAGAACAAUUCCUUGUGGAUCUCCAUCUUGAAUCUAAGGAAUUAAUGCAGGUCUCUUUGAAUCUUGAUAUGCCCCCGAUCAUGUAGAUCUUUCUGAUUCAACUUCUGUUGAUAGCUUUAUGUGUUUGGAAGUCUCUCACACCUUUGCUACCAUUGGAUUAUAUUAUUUAAAAGCCAAUGAAAUAUCUAUAUGUUUUGUAUA
Molecule: long non-coding RNA, 948 nt
Organism: Ipomoea nil (Japanese morning glory)
Lineage: Eukaryota; Viridiplantae; Streptophyta; Magnoliopsida; Solanales; Convolvulaceae
Exons: 2
Source: RefSeq, a predicted model, not a curated record